GGGGUUUUGCUUUUGUUUCUGCAGGAGAAGAAAAGCUAUGGAUACCAACAAAAUUAAUAAAAAUUUGAUAUGAACAGGAGAAACCCCUUGAUGAGAAGAAGAAAAAGCUCAUCCACUGAUGUGACAUCUCUAUAAGUUCACUGAUUUGAUCCGGAGAGAAUGUUGGGCUUCUAAGACAUUUCUGUUUGCAAGUUUGUCUUCUUGGCAAAAAAAUUGGCUUGCUGGGCAAAGAACUGCCCUUGCCUCUACUGUUGACAGUAUGAAUACUGUCCCUUUGGAAUGAGCAAGAUACAAGAAUAAGCGACUACUGAACUCUGCCAAGACUGGAUAAACUACAUGGAAUUGCCACUAUAUUCCUGUUUCACAGAAGAAACUGCCAGACAUUCUGCAGGACACAGAGGAAAGCAACUGAUGAGCAUUGCCACAAUAAGGCAGUACAGUCCAAAAUUCUUUCUUCAUAAAAAAGUCUGCUAGAUAACCUAGGCCUGUAGUCUAAAGAUGGAUGCCCCAAUGUUACAGAGGAACUUUGGAUGAUUGUCCAGGCAGCCAGAUUUCUUUGUUGUUAGAUAAUAUUACAUCCUUCUGGGUCUUUGAUGGAGUUGAAGACUAAAUAAUUAUAAUUGCAAUUUUCUUAGUUAUGAUAGAUAAUAAAUUAGAUAUAAAACUUUAGAUUCACUAAGAUAGAAUAGAUAAUGCAUUAUUUUCUCUAAAUAUGCUAACUAUAAGUGGGCAGAAUAUUAUGAAUGUAAUCCUUACCUGAUAAUUGUUAUUGUAUAUAAUCUUACUAUGUUUAAAUUAAAACCCUUCUAUUUUUUUAUUUAGACAAAAAGAGGGAA
Long non-coding RNA from Peromyscus maniculatus bairdii (prairie deer mouse), 836 nucleotides. RefSeq lists it as uncharacterized. Lineage: Eukaryota; Metazoa; Chordata; Mammalia; Rodentia; Cricetidae. The record is from RefSeq and is a predicted model, not a curated record.